Molecule: long non-coding RNA, 1033 nt
Organism: Megalobrama amblycephala (Wuchang bream)
Lineage: Eukaryota; Metazoa; Chordata; Actinopteri; Cypriniformes; Xenocyprididae
Exons: 3
Source: RefSeq, a predicted model, not a curated record
UCCGGCGCCGAGGAACCAACAGAACAACAGUUUAGAUUUCCAUCUAAAAUAAGCAAGAUCUCACACUUGCGUCCACAAUCUCAGGAAGCGCCGCAAUAGGUCAGUGUGUCUGCCAGUUUCUCGUAAAACAAACAAAAAUAAAAUACCCUGUACCACAAGGUUUAAGAAGAAAUUCUCUGCCCGUGUAAAUGCUUUCCUGUUUGGACAACAGUAUGAGGACACCAACUGCAAGGCCUUCGGCGAUAGGCUACUGCUAAUCUUACAUUAGCUUACAUUGGCAGCAGGAGUCACGGUUUACUCAUCGCUAAUGAGGAUCAUUUGGACAAUGUUUGUCAGUGUGGCCGCACUAUGACGCAGUUUGCUCUCAAAACAUGCUCUGCGUUUGUGACUGUGACAACCUGUUACAUUUGUUGGCUAAAUCGGACUACAGAGGCUGUCGGCGACGUUGAAUGCCAUCACACCAAACAGACUUUUCUCAUAGGCAAAACUAAAAUGAUGACGAUGACCGCAUUACAACACUUGAUCAAUAAUUCAUAGUCAGAGUUUAAAAGUUAGAUGAAGUUUGGUAAUGUGCUAUGUAGGUCUACUGCAGCUCAUCAAGUCAUCUGCUCCCAGGACAAAUGUUGUCAUAUCCGACAAGAUGAAGACUCUGGCCCCACAGUGCUGAGUUAAGCAAAGCAUGCAGGAAGGGACGAAAACAAAGCACAACAUUCUUUACUUCAUGCAACACACUGAGGUAAAUGCUAUUUAAAAAAAAAGAGAAAGAAACAUCUUCACAGCUGCUUCCUUUGGUUUUUGCUAUUCAGUAAUCCUUACAUACAGUGAUCAAUGUGUCACUGUUUGUUUUGUUGCAUGACAUCAUUCUCUACAGAAAUGAAAGCUGAAAAUAGUAAAUAAUGAAGUGAUGAUUCUAGACACACAAUAAAUCUGUGCAGUUUAGCGACAAUUCUGUUAACAUGGCAAUUCUGAUCUCCAUUUUGAACAUUUAUUGUGUUUGACUGCAAAUCGCAUAACGUCAGUGCAAACAGCAAAG